CCUACGGGAGGCAGCAGUGAGGAAUAUUGGUCAAUGGACGAGAGUCUGAACCAGCCAAGUAGCGUGAAGGAUGACUACCCUAUGGGUUGUAAACUUCUUUUAUAUGGGAAUAAAAUGUUCCACGUGUGGGAUUUUGUAUGUACCAUAUGAAUAAGGAUCGGCUAACUCCGUGCCAGCAGCCGCGGUAAUACGGAGGAUCCGAGCGUUAUCCGGAUUUAUUGGGUUUAAAGGGAGCGUAGGUGGAUUGUUAAGUCAGUUGUGAAAGUUUGCGGCUCAACCGUAAAAUUGCAGUUGAAACUGGCAGUCUUGAGUACAGUAGAGGUGGGCGGAAUUCGUGGUGUAGCGGUGAAAUGCUUAGAUAUCACGAAGAACUCCGAUUGCGAAGGCAGUUCACUGGACUGCAACUGACACUGAGGCUCGAAAGUGUGGGUAUCAAACAGGAUUAGAUACCCCAGUAGUC
Molecule: ribosomal RNA, 460 nt
Filed under: uncultured bacterium
Lineage: Bacteria
Description: partial 16S ribosomal RNA
Rfam family: Bacterial small subunit ribosomal RNA
Source: RNAcentral